This 272-nucleotide ribosomal RNA is filed under the name Escherichia coli. RNAcentral's name for it is "partial 16S ribosomal RNA". It matches the Rfam family "Bacterial small subunit ribosomal RNA", at positions 1 to 269 of the family's 1533-position model. Lineage: Bacteria; Pseudomonadati; Pseudomonadota; Gammaproteobacteria; Enterobacterales; Enterobacteriaceae. The record is from RNAcentral.
AAAUUGAAGAGUUUGAUCAUGGCUCAGAUUGAACGCUGGCGGCAGGCCUAACACAUGCAAGUCGAACGGUAACAGGAAGCAGCUUGCUUCUUUGCUGACGAGUGGCGGACGGGUGAGUAAUGUCUGGGAAACUGCCUGAUGGAGGGGGAUAACUACUGGAAACGGUAGCUAAUACCGCAUAACGUCGCAAGACCAAAGAGGGGGACCUUCGGGCCUCUUGCCAUCGGAUGUGCCCAGAUGGGAUUAGCUAGUAGGUGGGGUAACGGCUCACC